This 301-nucleotide ribosomal RNA is filed under the name uncultured bacterium. Its description in RNAcentral is "partial 16S ribosomal RNA". It matches the Rfam family "Bacterial small subunit ribosomal RNA", at positions 509 to 809 of the family's 1533-position model. The record is from RNAcentral.
CAGCAGCCGCGGGAAAACGGAGGGUGCUAGCGUUGUUCGGAAUCACUGGGCGUAAAGGGCGCGUAGGCGGCCUGUUAAGUCGGAUGUGAAAGCCCGGGGCUCAACCCCGGAACUGCAUCCGAGACUGGCAGGCUUGAGACCGGGAGAGGAGGGUGGAAUAUCCAGUGUAGAGGUGAAAUUCGUAGAUAUUGGAUGGAACACCGGUGGCGAAAGCGGCUCUCUGGCCCGGAUCUGACGCUGAGGCGCGAAAGCGUGGGGAGCAAACAGGAUUAGAUACCCGAGUAGUCCCUGUCUCUUAUAA